AUAUUGGACAAUGGGGGCAACCCUGAUCCAGCCAUGCCGCGUGUGUGAAGAAGGUCUUCGUAUUGUAAAGCACUUUAAGUUGGGAGGAAGGGCUUUGGGCUAAUACCCUGAAGUUUUGACGUUACCAACUGAACAAGCCCCGCCUAACUCUGUGCCAUCAGCCGCGGUAAUACAGAGGGUGCAAGCGUUAAUCGCAAUUACUGGGCGUAAAGCGCGCGUAGGUGGUUCAGUAAGAUGGGUGUGAAAUCCCCGGGGUUAACCUGGGAACUGCUUUCAUAACUGCUGAGCUAGAGUACGGUAGAGGGUAGUGGAAUUUCCUGUGUAGCGGUGAAAUGCGUAGAUAUAGGAAGGAACACCAGUGGCGAAGGCGACUACCUGGACUGAUACUGACACUGAGGUGCGAAAGCGUGGGGAGCAAACA
This 421-nucleotide ribosomal RNA is filed under the name uncultured bacterium. RNAcentral's name for it is "partial 16S ribosomal RNA". It matches the Rfam family "Bacterial small subunit ribosomal RNA", at positions 361 to 774 of the family's 1533-position model. The record is from RNAcentral.